Molecule: transfer RNA, 74 nt
Filed under: Candidatus Campbelliibacteriota bacterium
Lineage: Bacteria; Candidatus Campbelliibacteriota
Description: Candidatus Campbellbacteria bacterium tRNA-Met
Rfam family: tRNA
About the family: Transfer RNA (tRNA) molecules are approximately 80 nucleotides in length. Their secondary structure includes four short double-helical elements and three loops (D, anti-codon, and T loops). Further hydrogen bonds mediate the characteristic L-shaped molecular structure. tRNAs have two regions of fundamental functional importance: the anti-codon, which is responsible for specific mRNA codon recognition, and the 3' end, to which the tRNAs corresponding amino acid is attached (by aminoacyl-tRNA synthetases). tRNAs cope with the degeneracy of the genetic code in two manners: having more than one tRNA (with a specific anti-codon) for a particular amino acid; and 'wobble' base-pairing, i.e. permitting non-standard base-pairing at the 3rd anti-codon position.
Source: RNAcentral
GUCGGCGUAGCUCAGUUGGUUAGAGCGUGGGACUCAUAAACCCAAGGUCGGUGGUUCGAUUCCACCCGUCGGCA